RNAcentral lists this ribosomal RNA (422 nucleotides) under uncultured bacterium. RNAcentral describes it as "bacterial SSU rRNA". It matches the Rfam family "Bacterial small subunit ribosomal RNA", at positions 355 to 774 of the family's 1533-position model. The record is from RNAcentral.
UGAGGAAUAUUGGGCAAUGCCCGAAAGGGUGACCCAGCAACGCCGCGUGGAGGAUGACGGUCGUAAGAUUGUAAACUCCUGUUAGAGGGGAAGAAUAACUAAGUUUGGAGCUUAGUAUGACUGUACCCUCAGAGAAAGCCCCGGCUAACUACGUGCCAGCAGCCGCGGUAAUACGUAGGGGGCAAGCGUUGUCCGGAUUUACUGGGUGUAAAGGGCGCGCAGGCGGAAUGGAAAGUCAGUGGUGAGAUCCUACAGCUUAACUGUAGAACUGCCUUUGAUACUUUCAUUCUUGAGUUCGGGAGAGAGAGACUGAAUUCCAGGUGUAGUGGUGAAAUACGUAGAUAUCUGGAAGAACACCAGUUGCGAAGGCGGUCUCUUGGUCCGAUACUGACGCUGAGGCGCGAAAGCGUGGGGAGCAAACA